GAUGAACGCUGACCGAAUGCUUAACACAUGCAAGUCAACUUGAAUUUGGGUUUUUAACUUAGGUUUGGGUGGCGGACGGGUGAGUAACGCGUAAAGAACUUGCCUCACAGCUAGGGACAACAUUUGGAAACGAAUGCUAAUACCUAAUAUUAUGAUAAUAGGGCAUCCUAUAAUUAUGAAAGCUAUAAGCGCUGUGAGAGAGCUUUGCGUCCCAUUAGCUAGUUGGAGAGGUAACGGCUCACCAAGGCGAUGAUGGGUAGCCGGCCUGAGAGGGUGAUCGGCCACAAGGGGACUGAGACACGGCCCUUACUCCUACGGGAGGCAGCAGUGGGGAAUAUUGGACAAUGGACCGAGAGUCUGAUCCAGCAAUUCUGUGUGCACGAUGAAGUUUUUCGGAAUGUAAAGUGCUUUCAGUUGGGAAGAAACAAAUGACGGUACCAACAGAAGAAGAGACGGCUAAAUACGUG
Molecule: ribosomal RNA, 467 nt
Filed under: uncultured bacterium
Lineage: Bacteria
Description: partial 16S ribosomal RNA
Rfam family: Bacterial small subunit ribosomal RNA
Source: RNAcentral